RNAcentral lists this non-coding RNA (1097 nucleotides) under Pongo abelii (Sumatran orangutan). Lineage: Eukaryota; Metazoa; Chordata; Mammalia; Primates; Hominidae. The record is from RNAcentral.
GAGACCAUUAUGCUAAUGCAGCAGGGCUACCAGCCAGUUUCAGAUAAUGAUGUCAACCUCGGCCAUCAAGAAGUAACCUUGUCUCCACUAGACAGAGCAGGUUGCGGGAAUUUAGCCAAUUCAGAGGUCUUGUUCUCCAUAAUCUGGAACUUUCCUUCAGAUUUGAUCAAGUUGGAUAAAGUUGGUCAAACCCAAUGGGAAAAAGAUGAAAACAACAAGAAACAGAAACAAACAACAACAACAACAACAAAACAAUGCAUUUAAUUAAAUGAAGAUGAGCUCAUGCUGGAGUAGGGUGGACUCUGAACCCAGUAGGACAAGCGUCCUUGUUAAGAAGAGGGAAAUCUGAACACACACAGAGCAGAGACUGCGGUGUGAAGAUGGAGGCAGAGAUUAGAGAGAUGCUGCUACAUGCCACAAAUGCCUGGGGCUCCCAGAAACUACACGGAGCCUCCCCCAGCGGCUUCAGCAGGAGCAUGGCUCAGCCAACACUUUGAUCUUGGCCUUCCAGCCUCCAGAACGGUGAGUCGUUUUCCUAAAAUUCCCUUUUCCACUUGUGUGUGGUGCAAGAUGAGGCACAUUUUCCAUGGAUGGUGAACAGAGGGAGGAGCCUCUUGAUCACAACCAGGUCACCCCACUUCUAAGCCACUGUGCCUCCAGCCCCACAAGACUAAGGAGAGAGAGCGCAGAGUGGUGGAGAGUGAGCUGUGCUGGGACCGUUGUUUCUGUAACCUCAUUUUCUGUGUCCAGCUGACACACCUUCAAAGCGGCGUCAGGUCCUAAACUGUAGCUUGCGACGUGCCUGUUUCCAGAAACAAAGGUGAAAGUGCUUUUAGACAGUGUUCCCAUGCAAGAGUCCCUUCCCAGCUGUUCUCUGGAAAUGCAUGUUUCUCUGAACUCUGAGUCCCAAGAAAAAUCAUUUGAGACAUCAAGAAAAUGGGGGAAGUGCUAAAAUUGUGUGGGAAUUCAAGCUUAACAAUAAACAUCAAGACAUUUUUGGUAAAAAUGAAUCCACUGACAUCAGGGAGGAGCAAGAGAACAGCACUCUGACACUGGGUCAGAGGCUAAGACCGACAUUUCUGGGAACCACUCCCAGA